Molecule: ribosomal RNA, 407 nt
Filed under: uncultured bacterium
Lineage: Bacteria
Description: partial 16S ribosomal RNA
Rfam family: Bacterial small subunit ribosomal RNA
Source: RNAcentral
AUUGAACGCUGGCGGCAGGCCUAACACAUGCAAGUCGAGCGGAGCGGCGGACGGGUGAGUAAUGCCUAGGAAUCUGCCUGGUAGUGGGGGAUAACGUCCGGAAUCGGGCGCUAAUACCGCAUACUAUCAGAUGAGCCUAGGUCGGUUUAGCUCGUUGGUGGGGUAAAGGCCUACCAAGGCGAAGAUCCGUAACUGGUCUGAGAGGCUGAUCAGUCAAACGGGAACUGAGACACGGUCCAGAGUCCUACGCGAGGAAGCAGGGGGGAAUAUUGGACAAUGGGCGAAAGCCUGAUACAGGCAUGCCGCGUGUGUGAAGAAGGUCUUCGGAUUGUAAAGCUCUUUAAGUUUGGAGGCGUUACCAACAGAAUAAGCACCGGCUAACUUCGUGCCAGCAGCCGCGGUAAUUC